UGCUCCGAUGGGGCGGGAGGUCUUCCCAAGGAACGAGAGGGUGAAAGGACCCCCACCAAACCCCACCCUCUACCCCGCAGGACGCUCUCACUCGCGCGGGUGAACAUCUCCAACUCAGGUGGAUUUCGCACCGGUUGCCUGCCCUACGCUCGGCGCGACACAACCGCAGACAUGCGACGGCCCUCGCCGGGACUGCAAUCCCAGUGCGAGGGCCUGACCAUCAAGGAAGUAAAGGGCUUCCCG
Molecule: non-coding RNA, 243 nt
Filed under: Streptomyces lincolnensis
Lineage: Bacteria; Bacillati; Actinomycetota; Actinomycetes; Kitasatosporales; Streptomycetaceae
Description: Streptomyces sRNA 4677
Rfam family: Streptomyces sRNA 4677
About the family: Located in the intergenic region between anti-sigma factor SCO4677 gene and a putative regulatory protein gene SCO4676. scr4677 expression requires the SCO4677 activity and scr4677 sRNA itself seem to affect the levels of the SCO4676-associated transcripts.
Source: Rfam by way of RNAcentral